UGAAAGCUGAAACUUAAUUAUAAAUUGUUUGAGCCCUAAUUAUAUAUGCCCAAUCGAUCCCUCUGUUAUGGGCCCGAGCCAUUUGGAAGAUACCACUCUGGAAGAGCUAGAAUUCUAACCUUGUGUCAAGACCUACAAGCCAAGGGACAGUCUCAAGUAAAUAGUUCCUAUGGGGCGUAGGCUUCUAAAAAGGUAACGAAGGUGUGAAAAGGUUUCCUCGGGUUUUACAAAGGUUGGCCAUUGAGUGCAAAGGCAGAAGGGAGCUUGACAAGAAGACCCACCCGUUGAGUAGGGAUGAAAGUUGGCCUUAGUGAUCCGACGGUGCCGAGUGGAAGGGCUGUCGCUCAAUAAUUAAAAGUUACUCUAGGGAUAAUAGGCUGAUCUUCCCCAAGAACUCACAUCAAUGGGAAGAUUUGACACCUCGAUGUCAACCUCAUUAAAAAAAUAAAUUGCGUGUAGAACCAAA
This is a non-coding RNA of Gossypium raimondii (Peruvian cotton), 466 nucleotides long. NCBI's taxonomy places the organism in Eukaryota, Viridiplantae, Streptophyta, Magnoliopsida, Malvales, Malvaceae. The record is from Rfam.